Molecule: long non-coding RNA, 499 nt
Filed under: Triticum aestivum (bread wheat)
Lineage: Eukaryota; Viridiplantae; Streptophyta; Magnoliopsida; Poales; Poaceae
Description: long non-coding RNA (TAES_LNC018110)
Source: RNAcentral
UAGUUUGCAUGAAUGCCUUGAUGGUGUUAUUUUCUGCACGAUUUGUGCGGUUGCAUCGCUGAUGUUGCUUACGGUUUUCGCUAACGGUUCAAAGGCGAGCUGGGGGAUCGCAGUAGCGUGACGAUUGAAUGAUGAUAUAUUGCUACCUGGUCUAGACAGUAACACUAGAUUUGCUUGUAUAUCACAUAUAGGUGAUGGUGUGAUUUGAUUAGUAAUCUGGUCUUCUGCACUUCUGGUGAUGGAGUACUACUUUGUGCAGCCCAGUCCUCUUUGUGUUGCCAUCAGAGGAUGCAACAUAGUCCCACUGUGUUAGCAGCUGAUAAGUGUGUUUACCCCCAGAUGCAAACUCGUAUGUGGACUUACAUAACAUAGAAUUAAAUGGAUUCUUACAUUAUUUCCCUAGACAUACGUGUUAAUGUCUGAUCCAUUAUGUUCAGUUUAUGAUAUACGUAUUCUGCAACUUAAAAGUUGAUGUGCUUUGCUAAAGUUAGGACAGAAC